GAUGAACGCUGACAGAAUGCUUAACACAUGCCAGUCUUUGGCGAAGCUGUGCUUGCACAGCCUAGCCAAGGCGGACGGGUGAGUAACGCGUAAGGAACUUGCCCUGCAGUCAGGGAUAACAGACGGAAACGACUGAUAAGACCUGGUAAAGUCAGGCGGACUCAUGUCCAGCCUGAUGAAAAGAGAUGCUGCAGGAGAGCCUUGCGUCCUAUUAGCUUGUUGGUGGGGUAACGGCCCACCAAGGCGAUGAUAGGUAGCCGGCCUGAGAGGGUGGACGGCCACAAGGGGACUGAGAUACGGCCCUUACUCCUACGGGAGGCAGCAGUGGGGAAUAUUGGACAAUGGGGGCAACCCUGAUCCAGCAAUUCUGUGUGCACGAUGAAGGUUUUAGGAUUGUAAAGUGCUUUCAGCAGGGAAGAAAAAAAUGACGGUACCUGCAGAAGAAGCGACGGCUAAAUACGUG
RNAcentral lists this ribosomal RNA (463 nucleotides) under uncultured bacterium. RNAcentral's name for it is "partial 16S ribosomal RNA". It matches the Rfam family "Bacterial small subunit ribosomal RNA", at positions 28 to 507 of the family's 1533-position model. The record is from RNAcentral.